AGGACUGGAUACCUCUCCUGCUUAAAGUUUACUAUCACAAGGAUCCAGAUAUUCCACAGAUUGUGGCAAUUGCAAUUGGUAUUUGUGCUGAAUUCGGAUCAGAUUUCCUUAAACCUCAUACUGAAGGAAUAUUCGGUUGUUUGAAAACUGCAUUGGAGCAUAGUUUCCUAAGGAAAGUAACUGGUGUGCCAACAAGAUUUAAGCUUAAAGAGCUCGAAGAAGCAACCGAUAACUUUGGAUUGUUGGUAGGACGUGGAUCAUCAGCUUGUGUUUUCAAAGGUGUGCUUAGUGAUGGUGCAUCAGUAGCUGUGAAAAGGAUAAAUGGAGAGGAGCGUGGCGAUAAGGAAUUCAAAUCAGAAGUUGCAGCUAUUGCUAGUGUUCAACAUGUUAAUCUUGUACGUUUAUAUUGUAGUGUUCCUCCAUCAGGACCUCGAUUUUUGGUUUACGAGUAUAUAGUUAAUG
Solanum stenotomum is the source of this 462-nucleotide long non-coding RNA. RefSeq lists it as uncharacterized. The record is from RefSeq and is a predicted model, not a curated record. NCBI's taxonomy places the organism in Eukaryota, Viridiplantae, Streptophyta, Magnoliopsida, Solanales, Solanaceae. The transcript is spliced from 3 exons.